Molecule: ribosomal RNA, 292 nt
Filed under: uncultured bacterium
Lineage: Bacteria
Description: partial 16S ribosomal RNA
Source: RNAcentral
GGACUACUAGGGUAUCUAAUCCUGUUCGCUCCCCACGCUUUCGCGCCUCAGCGUCAGUAUGAUGCCAGGUGGCUGCCUUCGCCAUUGACGUUCCUUCCGAUCUCUACGCAUUUCACCGCUACACCGGAAAUUCCGCCACCCUCUCAUCUACUCCAGUUAUGUCGUUUGCGAUGCACUUCCCAGGUUAAGCCCGGGGCUUUCACAUCACACUCACACAACCGCCUACGCGCCCUUUACGCCCAGUAAAUCCGAUUAACGCUCGCACCCUCUGUAUUACCGCGGCUGCUGGCAC